AUACGUAGGGGGCGAGCGUUGUCCGGAAUGAUUGGGCGUAAAGGGCGCGUAGGCGGCCCGGUAAGUCUGGAGUGAAAGUCCUGUUUUUAAGAUGGGAAUUGCUUUGGAUACUGUCGGGCUUUAGUGCAGGAGAGGUAAGUGGAGUUCCCAGUGUAGCGGUGAAAUGCGUAGAGAUUGGGAGGAACACCAGUGGCGAAGGCGACUUACUGGACUGUAACUGACGCUGAGGCGCGAAAGUGUGGGGAGCAAACAGGAUUAGAUACCCUGGUAGUCCACACUGUAAACGAUGAAUGCUAGGUGUAGGGGGUAUCGACCCCUUCUGUGCCGCAGUCAACACAAUAAGCAUUCCGCCUGGGGAGUACGGCCGCAAGGUUGAAACUCAAAUGAAUUGACGGGG
Molecule: ribosomal RNA, 397 nt
Filed under: uncultured bacterium
Lineage: Bacteria
Description: partial 16S ribosomal RNA
Rfam family: Bacterial small subunit ribosomal RNA
Source: RNAcentral